GCCGGGAUAGCUCAGUUGGUAGAGCAGAGGACUGAAAAUCCUCGUGUCAC
Molecule: transfer RNA, 50 nt
Filed under: Acorus calamus (Eurasian sweet-flag)
Lineage: Eukaryota; Viridiplantae; Streptophyta; Magnoliopsida; Acorales; Acoraceae
Also listed under: 50 other names
Description: partial tRNA-Phe
Rfam family: tRNA
About the family: Transfer RNA (tRNA) molecules are approximately 80 nucleotides in length. Their secondary structure includes four short double-helical elements and three loops (D, anti-codon, and T loops).
Source: RNAcentral